RNAcentral lists this transfer RNA (71 nucleotides) under Pectenocypris balaena. RNAcentral describes it as "tRNA-Gln". It matches the Rfam family "tRNA". Rfam says of the family: Transfer RNA (tRNA) molecules are approximately 80 nucleotides in length. Their secondary structure includes four short double-helical elements and three loops (D, anti-codon, and T loops). Lineage: Eukaryota; Metazoa; Chordata; Actinopteri; Cypriniformes; Danionidae. The record is from RNAcentral.
UAGAAGGUAGUGUAGUGGAAGCACAAAGAGUUUUGAUGUCUUUAGCAUAGGUUCAAGUCCUUUCUUUCUAA